GGAGACAAUGUGUAGAAGGCAUUAGAAGGAGUGAUUCAUUGGUACUAUAGUAAUUGUGCACCAAAAUGACCAAUAAACCCCGUAGCGUCUGCCAAAGAGAUUAGCGCUGACUGGAUGGAAGAAAGGAGGUUAGAGUGAGGCGUCCAUAUAGGUCCAUAUUCUGAAACGUAUCGGGCUCCCAUUACGACCAUUUUACAAGGCCGCAGAGAAGAUUAACCGGGUUCUCAUGGGUGAUUCAUAAUGCAGAAGUCGGAUGAAUCUAUCACUAGGAUCACAAAACAGUCCAUGAAUAUCCCAACUACUUCUACGAGAGGCUCUUCAAACAGGCGUGCGAUGGUGCCGAUACGCUCAAGAAUACGGGCUGUGUUACCUUGCAGCAAGGGUGAGGGAGGGGGCGGCGAUGGUGCCGAUACGCUCAAGAAUACGGGCUGUGUUACCUUGCAGCAAGGGUGAGGGAGGGGGCGGCAAUGGUGCCGAUACGCUCAAGAAUACGGGCGGUGUUACCUUGCAGCAAGGGUGAGGGAGAGGGCGGGGCUUUUGGACAAAUUUAGUGCCCGACGGCUAUGGUAAAAGUACUGCUGAUUUCCAAGACACAAGAAAAGAGAAUAACUAAAUGCCAGUCAAGGUUUUGCUUCUGUCUUGUUACAUUUAAACAAGAGAGGAGCUGAUAGACAAUUAUUAAGUACAUCAGCAACACCCCAAGGAAGCAUGGUGAGGCUUGACGAAUUUAUACUUGCAACAUUAUCUUUAAUUACUAAUUUGAAUAAGGAAAGUUAUACGUCUUGAGAACCGAGUGUUUCACCCUUUUUUUAUGGUUACUUUCAUGUUGUUUAAGAAAAACUUUCCUCGUCAUCCUAGUUCGUUGUGGUCAACUUUUUCAGGUCAACUAGAAACAAUAUGUCACACACAGGAAAUCGUUGCCUACUCACCUCGCGGCGCUCGCGUCCAGGGAAGGGCAUCCUGCCUGUGGGGGAAAGUGUGAAAGGACAGAGUAAAUACUAAACAAAGAUGGAAGAAGAGUUUGACUCCUUUAUGCCUGUUAUUAAGAUUCUUAAGAAUGAUGUUUUCUAUGCCCUCUCUAGCCUCAAUCCUCAGAAGCCUUAUGGCCCUGAUGGAGUGCCUCCUAUUGUCCUUAAAAACUGUGCUUCCGUGCUGACACCCUGCCUGGUGAAACUCUUUCGCCUCUGCCUGUCAACAUCUACCUUUCCUUCCUGCUGGAAGUAUGCCUUCAUACAGCCUGUGUCUAAGAACGGUGACCGUUCCACUCCAUCAAACUACCAUCCUAUAGCUUUACUUUCCUGUCUAUCUACAGCUUUUGAAUCAUCCUUAACCGGAAGAUUCAAAAGCACCUUUCCACUUCUGACCUUCUAUCUGAUCGCUAGUAUGUGUUCCGCAAGGGGAGUUCUAUUGGUAAUCUCCUUGCCUUCCUAACUGACUCUUGGUCAUCCUUUCUUAGCCGUUUCGGUGAAACCUUUGCUAUUGCGCUGGACAUAUCAAAAACCUUUGAUUGCGUCUGGCACAAAUCUUUGCUUUCCAAACUACCCUCCUACGGUUUCUAUCCUUCUCUCUGUACCUUUAUCUUCAGUCUCCUUUCUGACCGCUCUAUUUCUGUUGUGGUAGACGGUUACUGAUCUUUUCGUAAACCAAUCAACAGUGGUGUCCCACAGGGCUCUGUCCUAUCUCCCACUAUUUCUGUUGUUCAUUAAUGAUCUUUCCAAAACGAACUGUCCUAUCCAUUCUUAGACCGAUGACUCUACUCUGCAUUACUCAACUUCUUUUAAUAGAAGACCCACCCAACAGGAACUAAACGAUUCCAGGCUGGAGGCUGCAGAACACUUAGCCUCAGACUUUACUAUUAUUUCCGAUUGGGGCAAGAAGAACCUGGUGUCCUUCAACGCCUCAAAAACUCAGUUUCUCCACCUAUCCACUCGACACAAUCUUCCAAACACCUAUCCCCUAUUCUUCGACAACACUCAGCUAUCACCUUCUUCAACACUAAACAUCCUCGGUUUAUCCUUAACUCAAAAUCUCAACUGGAAACUUCAUAUCUCUUCUCUUACUAAAUCAGCUUCCUCGAGGCUGGGCGUUCUGUAUCGUCUCCGCCAGUUAUUCUCCCCCGCACAGAUGCUUUCCAUUUAUAGGGGCCUUGUCCCCCCUCGUAUGGAGUAUGCAUCUCACGUGUGGGGGGGCUCCACACACUCAUCUCUCUUGGACAGAGUGGAGUCUAAAAGGCUCUUCGUCUCAUCAGCUCUCCUCUUACUGAUAGUCUUCUACCUCUUAAAUUCUGCCGCCAUGUUGCUUAUCUUUCUAUCUUCUAUCGAUAUUUUCAUGCUGACUGUUCUUCUGAACUUGCUAACUGCAUGCCUCCCCCUUUCCCGCAACCCCGCUGCACACGACUUUCUACUCCUGCUCAUUCCUAUAGUGUCCAAACCCCUUACGCAAGAGUUAACCAACCAGCACCUCCAUUCUUUCAUCCCCUUCACUGGUAAACUCUGGAACAGCCUUCCUUUGUCUGUAUUUCCUCCUGCCUAUGACUUGACCUUUUUCAAGAAGAGUGUAUCAAGACACCUCUCCACCCGAAAUUGACCUCUCUUUUGGCUACUCUUUACUUUUAACUUUUAUGGGAGCGGCGAGUAGCGGACUUUUUUUGUACUCUUUUUGUUGCCCUUGAGCCGUGACCUUUGAUGUAAAGAAAAAAAAACUCACAUUGGGACUGAGACUUUGCCACCAUGACACGUCGGAAGAAAUUCCAAAAUAUCGUUGUUGGUAUAUAUGUUUCUAUGUACGGGGAACACUUUGAAGCAUUUUUUUUUUCAUAUAAUCCAUCUUACACUUUGCUUUCUUUCCAUUCUACUAAAAUUAAUGAUAGAAAAAUCGUAAACUUAUUAAUCAGCAUGAAUUUAUUAAAGUGCUACCAUGCUACUAUGUAAGUACUAGACAGAAUAAAAAAUGAAGUCUGAAUGUAUUAUUUCUCUAGAGUCAGCUUCGACCUGAGCCAGGCACAAUAAGAGCUGUUUGAAU
Molecule: long non-coding RNA, 3021 nt
Organism: Eriocheir sinensis (Chinese mitten crab)
Lineage: Eukaryota; Metazoa; Arthropoda; Malacostraca; Decapoda; Varunidae
Exons: 4
Source: RefSeq, a predicted model, not a curated record